This 28-nucleotide non-coding RNA is filed under the name Mus musculus (house mouse). Lineage: Eukaryota; Metazoa; Chordata; Mammalia; Rodentia; Muridae. The record is from RNAcentral.
UNGUCAGAGGGGCCAAGGCUAUGCUUUU